Long non-coding RNA from Thalassophryne amazonica, 138 nucleotides. RefSeq lists it as uncharacterized. The record is from RefSeq and is a predicted model, not a curated record. The transcript is spliced from 5 exons. Lineage: Eukaryota; Metazoa; Chordata; Actinopteri; Batrachoidiformes; Batrachoididae.
AAAAAAUGGCUUCAAAGGUAAGUUUCAAUUUGCACAAGGGUCAGAAGUUAAAAUUGCUUCAGUUUUGGUGAAAAAGUGAUGCAAACCAUUGGUUGAGCUAAUAGGACAAAUAAACACAAUAGAUUUGACCGUGUUGAG